GAUUUUCGCAAUGCCCGAAAGGGUGACGAGGCGACGCCGCGUGGGUGAGGAAGGCCCUCGGGUUGUAAAGCCCUGUCAGGAGUUAAGAAAUGUAGACACGCUAAUAUCGUAUCUAUUUGACAAAGGCUCCAAAGGAAGCCACGGCUAACUCUGUGCCAGCAGCCGCGGUAAUACAGAGGUGGCAAGCGUUGUUCGGAAUUAUUGGGCGUAAAGAGCACGUAGGUGGAUUUGUAAGUCAGAUGUGAAAGCCUUCUGUUCAACGGAAGAAUUGCAUCUGAAACUACAAACCUUGAGUAUAGGAGGGGAGAAUGGAACUUCUGGUGGAGCGGUGAAAUGCGUAGAUAUCAGAAGGAACGCCGGCGGCGAAAGCGAUUCUCUGGCCUAUUACUGACACUCAGUGUGCGAAAGCUAGGGGAGCAAACGGGAUUAGAUACCCCGGUAGUCCUAGCCGUAAACGAUGGGCACUAAGUAGAGGGG
This 477-nucleotide ribosomal RNA is filed under the name uncultured anaerobic ammonium-oxidizing bacterium. RNAcentral describes it as "bacterial SSU rRNA". It matches the Rfam family "Bacterial small subunit ribosomal RNA", at positions 359 to 828 of the family's 1533-position model. The record is from RNAcentral.